AUUGAACGCUGGCGGCAUGCUUUACACAUGCAAGUCGAACGGUAACAGGCCGCAAGGUGCUGACGAGUGGCGAACGGGUGAGUAAUGCAUCGGAACGUGCCCAGUCGUGGGGGAUAACUACUCGAAAGAGUAGCUAAUACAGCAUACGAUCUAUGGAUGACAGCGGGGGACCGUAAGGCCUCGCGCGAUUGGAGCGGCCGAUGUCAGAUUAGGUAGUUGGUGGGGUAAAGGCUCACCAAGCCAACGAUCUGUAGCUGGUCUGAGAGGACGACCAGCCACACUGGGACUGAGACACGGCCCAGACUCCUACGGGAGGCAGCAGUGGGGAAUUUUGGACAAUGGGCGCAAGCCUGAUCCAGCAAUGCCGCGUGCAGGAAGAAGGCCUUCGGGUUGUAAACUGCUUUUGUACGGAACGAAACGGCUCUGGUUAAUACCCGGGGCUAAUGACGGUACCGUAAGAAUAAGCACCGGCUAACUACGUG
Molecule: ribosomal RNA, 482 nt
Filed under: uncultured bacterium
Lineage: Bacteria
Description: partial 16S ribosomal RNA
Rfam family: Bacterial small subunit ribosomal RNA
Source: RNAcentral